Molecule: ribosomal RNA, 406 nt
Filed under: uncultured bacterium
Lineage: Bacteria
Description: partial 16S ribosomal RNA
Rfam family: Bacterial small subunit ribosomal RNA
Source: RNAcentral
AUUGAACGCUGGCGGCAAGCCUAACACAUGCAAGUCGAACGAGUGGCGGACGGGUGAGUAAUGUCUGGGAAACUGCCUGAUGGAGGGGGAUAACUACUGGAACCGGUAGCUAAUACCGCAUACCAUCGGAUGUGCCCAAGUGGGAUGAGCUAGUAGGUGGGGUAAAGGCUCACCUGGGCGACGAUCCCUCGCUGGUCGGAGAGGAUGACCAGCCACACUGGGACUGAGACACGGUCCAGACUCCUACGGGAGGCAGCAGGGGGGAAUAUUGCACAAUGGGCGCAAGCCUGAUGCAGCCAUGCCGCGUGUAUGAAGAAGGCCUUCGGGUUGUAAAGUACUUUCAGCGGGGAGGCGUUACCCGCAGAAGAAGCACCGGCUAACUCCGUGCCAGCAGCCGCGGUAAUUC